This 1432-nucleotide long non-coding RNA is filed under the name Neogale vison (American mink). Its description in RNAcentral is "Neovison vison (American mink) lncRNA (ENSNVIG00000005894.1)". Lineage: Eukaryota; Metazoa; Chordata; Mammalia; Carnivora; Mustelidae. The record is from RNAcentral.
CCUUAUUCUACACGCCACAUCAUUUGGUUUCCAUUUUCAAGGACGCAAGUACUAUGCUUUUGUCCAUGGCUCACCCUGUAUUGUGACACAGAGACUUCCGAAGGUCCGUAUUAUCUUGUAUUGAUGCAUCUCCACAUUCCAUGGCGUCUGGUCCUAACUACCAGGCAGCACACUUCGAAGAUAAAGCUUCCAUCUAAAUCACCAGGCACUGGAAUAUGGAAGACCCAUGUAUCCUCCCGGGCACAGAUGGAAAAAUAUCCUGACCCCAGCUCCACAGUGAAGCCAGUUUCUGUCCUGACCCCCGCAGUAGCCGAGAGACGCUGUACUCUCACAUUAGCAGGCCAUGGAUUGGUCUACAGAAUUCUGGGAACUUGGGUAAGUUACUUCCCUUCCUGGGUUUCAGUUUUUUUUUUUUUUCGUCUUGUAAAAUAAGGUCAUUGGACAAGCCUAGAAAAUUGAUAAAAUCGCAGAAGCCCUAAAGUGCAGUGACUCUAACUCUACCCUUUGCCCCUUCCACACACAUGCGUUGGGCAAACUGUUUAUUUCAUUUUGUCUUCAUGUUUCCCAUCGUUCACUUUGGUAGGUUGUGUUUUGUUCAAAAUAUUUGCUGCCUCUCCUUGGGGGCACUUGUAUGUUCUCACCACCCUGAACUUAGGAGUAGAUUUUAGCCGAUGGAAUGUGGCAGAAGUGACUUGAAUCAUUUUUGACCAGAAACUUUGAAGAGCCAGUUUGUGUUUUUUUGCCGUCUCUUUUUCCUUUGCCAGGAAAUCAUCAAUAACCUUGAUAAGAAAGAUGACGUGUAAUUUAUUGUCCAAACCAGGAAUAUUUGAAAGUGAGAGGGUAUACAGGUGAGAGUGAAAAGAUAGGCUAUUAAUAAUUUCUCAGGGACAACAAACAUGGCUAGGACUGCGUUGGAUAAACCGGAAUGUGUAAUCCAGAUAGAGGCUGCUUUGUCAGUUUGGUUCCCGGGGAGAAAACAACACGGGGCAGAAGCAGAGCCAUUCCACGAGGGACACACGUGAGAGAGAAAUCACCCUCUGUAAGCCUCUAAGAUUUCGGGGAACAUUGUUAGUAUAGUACGACUUAGCCAGCUGAUACGGAAGUUUAACCAGCGUAGCUGACUGAUUCAGAAAACACAUGGAAAAGUGGCUUUCUGUUGGUAUACGUUACUGGGUCAUUUGAGAGUUUGCUGGACACUGAACAUAUAUGCUCAGAGGUGUCUGGAGUUGCUGGUACCUUCUUCCAGUUUAAAACAAGGAAAGCUGUUCUCUGCUCUCCAAGUGGGCCUUGGUUGUGUACUGGGCAGGCUAAGUCUCAAGAGUGCCUAUCUCACCCAAAAAGAAACAAGGGGUUUCUUUUGUAAAUAUCAACGUUGAUUCAGUUGACCAUUCUAUUCUAGCCGAAGCUGUUGGAACCAGGGUGGAGACUCAAG